GACGAACGCUGGCGGCGCGCCUAACACAUGCAAGUCGAACGAGUGAGAGAGAGCUUGCUUUCUCGAGCGAGUGGCGAACGGGUGAGUAACGCGUGAGGAACCUGCCUCAAAGAGGGGGACAACAGUUGGAAACGACUGCUAAUACCGCAUAAGCCCACGACCCGGCAUCGGGUAGAGGGAAAAGGAGCAAUCCGCUUUGAGAUGGCCUCGCGUCCGAUUAGCUAGUUGGUGAGGUAAUGGCCCACCAAGGCGACGAUCGGUAGCCGGACUGAGAGGUUGAACGGCCACAUUGGGACUGAGACACGGCCCAGACUCCUACGGGAGGCAGCAGUGGGGAAUAUUGCACAAUGGGGGAAACCCUGAUGCAGCGACGCCGCGUGGAGGAAGAAGGUCUUCGGAUUGUAAACUCCUGUUGU
Molecule: ribosomal RNA, 416 nt
Filed under: uncultured bacterium
Lineage: Bacteria
Description: bacterial SSU rRNA
Rfam family: Bacterial small subunit ribosomal RNA
Source: RNAcentral